RNAcentral lists this ribosomal RNA (499 nucleotides) under uncultured bacterium. Its description in RNAcentral is "partial 16S ribosomal RNA". It matches the Rfam family "Bacterial small subunit ribosomal RNA", at positions 28 to 507 of the family's 1533-position model. The record is from RNAcentral.
GACGAACGCUGGCGGCGUGCCUAAUACAUGCAAGUCGAGCGAAGUUUUUCUGGUGCCUGCACCGGAAAAACUUAGCGGCGAACGGGUGAGUAACACGUAAAGAACCUGCCUCAUAGACUGGGACAACUAUUGGAAACGAUAGCUAAUACCGGAUAACAGCAUUAACUGCAUGGUUGAUGUUUAAAAGUUGGUUUUGCUAACACUAUGAGAUGGCCUUGCGGUGCAUUAGCUAGUUGGUGGGGUAAAGGCCUACCAAGGCGACGAUGCAUAGCCGACCUGAGAGGGUGAUCGGCCACACUGGGACUGAGACACGGCCCAGACUCCUACGGGAGGCAGCAGUAGGGAAUCUUCCGCAAUGGGCGAAAGCCUGACGGAGCAACGCCGCGUGAGUGAAGAAGGAUUUCGGUUCGUAAAGCUCUGUUGUUAGGGAAGAAUGAUUGUGUAGUAACUAUACACAGUAGAGACGGUACCUAACCAGAAAGCCACGGCUAACUACGUG